UUGACCUCGAAUCAGCGUAGGACUACCCGCUGAACUUAAG
Molecule: ribosomal RNA, 40 nt
Filed under: Beauveria bassiana
Lineage: Eukaryota; Fungi; Ascomycota; Sordariomycetes; Hypocreales; Cordycipitaceae
Description: partial 28S ribosomal RNA
Source: RNAcentral